This 180-nucleotide non-coding RNA is filed under the name Opitutales bacterium. RNAcentral describes it as "6S RNA". It matches the Rfam family "6S / SsrS RNA". Rfam says of the family: E. coli 6S RNA was the first non coding RNA to be sequenced, but its function was unknown until recently. It consists of 184 nucleotides that fold into an extended hairpin structure with a large single-stranded internal bulge. The 6S RNA specifically associates with RNA polymerase holoenzyme containing the sigma70 specificity factor. The record is from RNAcentral. Lineage: Bacteria; Pseudomonadati; Verrucomicrobiota; Opitutia; Opitutales.
UCAACCCUGCAGUGUUCGAGCCUAAACGGAGUCCUGUCCUUUACUCUUUCGCAAUCGGGAGCUUGACCCUCUUCGGUGGCUGUCCAGCCGUCAAUCGGAAGACAAAAACCGCGGAGAAAGCACCCACCUUAGACGCAAAAGGCCAAGGACUCCCCUUUAUACGGCACAGGUGGGGCCAUU